Molecule: long non-coding RNA, 648 nt
Filed under: Equus caballus (horse)
Lineage: Eukaryota; Metazoa; Chordata; Mammalia; Perissodactyla; Equidae
Description: lncRNA (ENSECAG00000050775.1)
Source: RNAcentral
UAGAUGGCCCAGCAAAGACUUGUUUAACAAACAUUUGCAUUUCCAUCUCCAUGUAAAUUGUCGUCCUCCUCUCUGAAGUUCCAAACCACUGCCUCCAGCAUCCUCCUUUGUCUUAGCUGAAGAUGGUAUUUAAGGUGGCAGCUUCGGCCAUUCUGGACCCCGUGGAGGAAAGAAGUGGAGAGUCACCUGCUGAAGUGAGGAGCAAGGAACUGCUGUUUUCACCCCUGCGGGGAAGGCAACUGCUGAAAGGCGUAUACCACCGAAAAGAAUCAGUGAGCAAGAAAGAAGACAAGCGGGGGGUCAGGAAGGAGUGCCUUCAACACGAGGGGAGAGCUAUUCUGAGGACAAAGCUGAUGUCUUAAAUAGUUGGGAGGGAAGACGAAUUCUUGGUGAGAUCAUGGAGUUGCUGAAUUCAGCAAGCAUGGAACUGUCUACAUGUGGAUUUCUUGGUAUGUGAGAAAAUAAACUUUCUUGCUAUUUAAGACAGCCAAUUUAGGUGCUGGCUUCUGUAGGCAUCCUAAGUGUUAGAAGUAUAUACAGAUAAGUUGGAAAGAACUGGAACCUUAGUGAAAGCCAAACUGAGGAGCAAUUUGGGGAAAAUCAUGAGAGAGGAUGAAGUUUAGCAAGGUGAAUCCGACUGAGCCAGAA